This 439-nucleotide ribosomal RNA is filed under the name uncultured bacterium. RNAcentral describes it as "partial 16S ribosomal RNA". It matches the Rfam family "Bacterial small subunit ribosomal RNA", at positions 338 to 795 of the family's 1533-position model. The record is from RNAcentral.
CCUACGGGGGACUGCAGUGGGGAAUAUUGGACAAUGGGGGGAACCCUGAUCCAGCGACGCCGCGUGAGUGAAGAAGUAUUUCGGUAUGUAAAGCUCUAUCAGCAGGGAAGAAAAUGACGGUACCUGACUAAGAAGCCCCGGCUAACUACGUGCCAGCAGCCGCGGUAAUACGGAGGAUGCGAGCGUUAUCCGGAUUUAUUGGGUUUAAAGGGUGCGCAGGCGGAAUGUCAAGUCAGCGGUAAAAUUUCGGGGCUCAACCCCGUCGUGCCGUUGAAACUGGCGUUCUUGAGUGAGCGAGAAGUAUGCGGAAUGCGAGGUGUAGCGGUGAAAUGCAUAGAUAUCACGCAGAACUCCGAUUGCGAAGGUAGCAUACCGGCGCUCAACUGACGCUCAUGCACGAAAGCGUGGGUAUCGAACAGGAUUAGAUACCCCAGUAGUC